This is a long non-coding RNA of Hylaeus anthracinus, 4363 nucleotides long. RefSeq lists it as uncharacterized. The record is from RefSeq and is a predicted model, not a curated record. NCBI's taxonomy places the organism in Eukaryota, Metazoa, Arthropoda, Insecta, Hymenoptera, Colletidae. The transcript is spliced from 2 exons.
UUGGUUAUUAUUAUCGUUUUAUCGACUGAUUAUCGUUGUUCGUUUGGUUUGGAAGUUUCCUCUAGAGAACGUGUACAGCCUUGCCGUGUAUACCUAUACUCUGUUCUGUUCAGUAUAGCCAGGAUACGUUUUUACCGACCACACCAAGCCCGAUACCACUAUCACACCCGUUUCAAGAAGCGUCCACGAUCGAGAGCUUCCCACGACACGUCUCGAUUUAGUUUCCGUGUCUUCUCUUACGUUGUUAGAGCUCGAUGUUGCACGAUGUGAAAUGCCCUAUAGAAUAGAGCGGAGCUGGGCACCCCGAACGCUUCGGUGUACGGCGAGCGCGCGAACUAGAGGCGCCGCCGGGCGUUUCAAGAAGGCAGUGGCGGCGCCAGAGGGACAGGUGGCGCUACGAGUGAACUCACGUGGACUGGUGGCGCCACGAGUGAACUCACGUGGACUGGUGGUGCCAUUAGUUCGUAUCCCACGGGCUGAAGUGAUCGGGAUCCCCCCGGCCUGGAAUAGAGGAUAGAGCGAUACUCCUUUGUUUGUUCUGUGUGUAUUGCAUCGUGAAGAUGUCGUGUGCAUUCGAUAUCGAUAGUAUCGAAGUCUAACGAAGGGAGCUCUUGGUCGUCGGGUCGUUAGUCCCACCGUAGAGUGUCACAUGGAUCUCGAGCAACAGAUCGUCAAAGACGAUUCCAGGAAACGUUGAAAGUGAUCGCGGGGACCUGUCCCCCGGCGAUCCAUGUCACACUGCCUAGAUCCUUGCGAGAGUUGUUGGGAACGAUUUGACAUACGAAAUGCUGUCACGUUUUGUUUGUUCCGGGGUCUUGUUUGGAUUCUCCUGUCAGGAUGUCAACGGUUUCGUUAGCAUAGUCGCCGCGUCGUGUCGAAUACCGGCAGCCUGACUCUCUCGCCGGCCUGACACGACACUGGUGCGCAUGUAUAUCGAUCGUGCGGAUCGACGGCUGGCCAUUAAAGCUGUUUUCGCUUGCGAACAAGUUCCGCGCGCGAUGGUGGGACGCGUGCAUGUGACUGUUCCGCGCCGAUAGAACGACGACGAUUGAGAAUCGCAACUCCUGUUCUCCGAGUCGAGGAGGAUAGAGCUAGAGUAUACCGUAGGGAGGGUUGGCGAAAAGAACCGGAGCUAAACAAACAAAAGCGUCUACGAGACAAUGGCCGGUAGCUGUGAGAUAUUCGGCACGACGCGCUCCACGUGGCUGCUCUACAGACGAGAAAGUUGGACUGAUCGUAGGUCUGCCUGUGCGUGUUAGGUGUACAUUAACCCUGUUUGCCCGACAUUUUUUGGCGAUGUGCCCGUUGUUCAGUGUGCGAUCCCCCCUCCACGUUUCUCUCCACAGCCCACUCCUCCGAUUCACGCUCCCGAGUACCUUCUCGCCUCCAAACGUACUCCGACGACCCGGCCCCAAGACCAGCGUUACGAUUCGUUCCCUCCUCCCCUCAGUUGCUUGCUAUUCCGUGCUGUUUAGAUGCCUGGUUUUUGUCCAAGUUGCAAAGGUUUGAGACGCGAUUUCUGUUCACCCGUUAUCCUUCUUCUUUUUUCUUUCGUUUUCUUCUAAUUUCGUUCGUUCCUUGCGUUGCCUCUGUCUGGACCCAGUGAAUUUAGACGUGGUCGGUCGGUUGUUCCGUAGAUCAGUAGAUGUUUUUCGUCUAGUCGGUCGAUCCUAGAUUGUUAGCUCCCCGAGACGGAUGCAGCAUGCGGUUCGACGAUCGAUCGAUCGAGUGUGUCGUCUAGUUUUUCGCGACGUUUGCAUCCUUCGGAUCGGUGUUCCUUGUUUGGCGUUGUCCCCGUGGUUGCUCCUUGUCGUUUGUUUUUCUGCUCGUGGGAAUGCUGUAGCGCAGACGCGUCGAUUCCGUCGCGGAACGAAAUUCAGUGGUCUAGGACAGUCCGUCCUCAGCCGUUCGACGUUCAACCUGGGCGGAUUAGCAUUUCGAUCCUCCGGUAACCGAGAGGAUUUCGUCCGGAGUAAAAUCGACCGAUGGAUCGUGGAUGUUCGAGAAUGUAUCACAUGCACGGAAAAUAUCGAAAUGAAGCGAGUUCCAAGAGGUUCAGAGAGUCAUUUGAAACAACUUUUUCCUUAGGGAAAAUGUUGCCCGAGGCUUCGUUAAGGAGAUAUUAACGGAAACCCCGACCAAGCAGAGCGUGAGUACGCCGGUGGACCAUAGCCUACACUAAUGCGGCCGUCUAGCGCGUAGCCUACACUAAUGCGGCCGUCUAGCGCGUAGCCUAUUCUACUGCGGCCGUCUAACGCGUAGCCUACACUACUGCGGCCGUUUAGCGCGUAGCCUACACUACUGCGGCCGUCUAGCGCACCGCGGCCGUCUAACGCGUAGCCUACACUACUGUGGCCGUUUAGCGCGUAGCCUACACUACUGCGGCCGUCUAGCGUACCGCGGCCGUCUAACGCGUAGCCUACACUACUGUGGCCGUUUAGCGCGUAGCCUACACUACUGCGGCCGUCUAGCGUGUAACCUACACUACUGCGGCGGCCUAGCGCGUAGCCUAUUCUACUGCGGCCGUCUAGCGCACCGCGGCCGUCUAACGCGUAGUCUACACUACUGCGGCCGUUUAGCGCGUAGCCUACACUACUGCGGCCGUUUAGCGCGUAGCCUACACUACUGCGGCCGUUUAGCGCGUAGCCUACCCUACGCACCGCGGCUGUCUAGCGCGAACCCUAUACUACUGCGGCCGUCUAGCACGUAACCUACCGUCGGGGUUUUCUGUCAAUAUCUCCUUAACGAAGCCUCGGACAACAUUUUCCCUAAGGAAAAAGUUGUUUCAAAUCACUCCCUGAAGCACCCCUUUCAAGGACCUCCAACAUGUUUGCGACACCCUGUAUAUAGUUUCCAGUUACACGAGAACAAAAUUUGAGCUUCACAAAUAUUUGCACGACUUUGUCUGGCACUCGCAGACGUCGAUAGGCUAACUAGCCGGAAAGCAUUAACGAAUGCUCGGCAUACUUGCAUAUAAAACACGCAUUUGCAUAAACAUCCGAUCGAAUUGGAUUCCAAGCGAGUAAUCGAGCAUUAUCCCGAAUAGCUGAUCAGACAGCGUCCAGGAAUGUCGACGAGAACGCGAGACGUUCCCUGUACAAGGUCCAAAUGAGUAACGUCGAUUACGUUUGGGUUCUUCCCCGUUUCGAGAGUCCCGCGAGGACGUCGUCGGGUAAUAAUACGUUGCUUUCUCGACGCCCACGCUAACCGCCGCCUCGAGAACCCUGACCGAAAUGGACCUCGGAGCACGAUUAAUCAUAGCUGUCGCGGUGAGGUGAUAAAUUACAGGUUGCCCCGCGAAUUCGCGCCACCCUUUAGCUCGUCGAUUCUCGUUUCGCGGGACACACCCCGACGAGGGCACACGGCCAUCGCCGUUUGUAUUUUUCGACGAGUAAGAUGGCGGCGCACAGCUGGGAUCGAUUGUUUCCUGGUUCGAAAAUGCCCCGAGGAGCUUCGCGGAAACGUAAACGAAAGAGGAAAAUAAAUUCCGCGUCGAAGACCGUAUCAACUAAACUUCGACGUUGUUACGCGAGAAUUCCAAGCACCGCGCGCGAAACAGCGUCGGUUGGGAUGUUUCUCAGAGUCCGACUCGGCUGUUACGUAAACCGUAAGAGUAGAGGGGAGAUAAUUGGUCCGAACAGACUCUGACCGGUCGCCGAGAGAUAUACUCUGCGAAUAUUCCUCGCUCGACGAGUGUUUCUGUUACAAUUUUUUUUUUUUUCGAAGGAGCUGGAAUUUCAAAACUAACCUAUCCUCUCGCGUUCGGCGCUAUUACAGAGCGAAUACGAACGUGGGAUGUGCUCAGGACUCUGGUAACGAGGAUCCGAUUUUCAAAAUUAAUUUAUUAAAUUUGGACGCUCGUCCGGUUGUUGGUUCAACUCGAAGCCGAUGAACGCAACAGGAAAAAUGCGAUAGAACUUAUACGAGUUGCCAUGUGUGAUUCCGUCGAAUAAGCAGAGUCACGUGACCGAAUCACAUGACCGAAUCACAUGACCUCAUCACGUGACCACACCCCGUGACGAUUUCGCUCCGAGUUGAACCGGUAACGGAGAGCUGCGCAAAAGGCCAGAAGUUUGCACAAAGGGAAACAAUUUCAAACCUUCCCGAACCCAUUCCCACUCUCGACACUUUUAUAAUUUUCGACCGUGGCCUGUUUUCGCCGUUUUACCCCUUCAACCCUCAGGAAAGACGAACGUUCAGACAACGUUGAUUUCCAAAGAACAUUCGCCACUCGAGUGUCGCCUCUCGCCAAUCGGAAAUCAGCACUCCCCAACGAAUCUAGAAAUCGACGCGGGUCGACUCUCUUUUUGCUUGGCCACGAAGGCUCCAGAAACCAAAAUAAAAAAAAAAAUAAUAAUAAUAA